AACGAACGCUGGCGGCAUGCCUAACACAUGCAAGUCGAACGAGACCUUCGGUCUAGUGGCGCACGGUGCGUAACGCGUGGGAAUCUGCCCUUUGCUACGGAAUAACUCGGGGAAACUCGUGCUAAUACCGUAUGAUGUCGCAAGACCAAAGAUUUAUCGGCAAGGGAUGAGCCCGCGUAGGAUUAGCUUGUUGGUGAGGUAAAGGCUCACCAAGGCGACGAUCCUUAGCUGGUCUGAGAGGAUGAUCAGCCACACUGGGACUGAGACACGGCCCAGACUCCUACGGGAGGCAGCAGUGGGGAAUAUUGGACAAUGGGCGAAAGCCUGAUCCAGCAAUGCCGCGUGAGUGAUGAAGGCCUUAGGGUUGU
This 368-nucleotide ribosomal RNA is filed under the name uncultured bacterium. Its description in RNAcentral is "bacterial SSU rRNA". It matches the Rfam family "Bacterial small subunit ribosomal RNA", at positions 29 to 426 of the family's 1533-position model. The record is from RNAcentral.